RNAcentral lists this small nucleolar RNA (57 nucleotides) under Cinara cedri. Lineage: Eukaryota; Metazoa; Arthropoda; Insecta; Hemiptera; Aphididae. The record is from RNAcentral.
UUAUGAUGAAUUAUUAUUUGUCAGUUCUGCUACUGAGUAUUAAUUGAAGAUAAUGAU